RNAcentral lists this ribosomal RNA (413 nucleotides) under uncultured microorganism. RNAcentral describes it as "bacterial SSU rRNA". It matches the Rfam family "Bacterial small subunit ribosomal RNA", at positions 9 to 424 of the family's 1533-position model. The record is from RNAcentral.
GAGUUUGAUCUUGGCUCAGGACGAACGCUGGCGGCGUGCUUAACACAUGCAAGUCGAACGGUAAGGCUCCAGCUUGCUGGGGUACACGAGUGGCGAACGGGUGAGUAACACGUGGGUGACCUGCCCUGCACUUCGGGGAUAAGCCUGGGAAACUGGGUCUAAUACCGGAUAGGACCGCACCGUGAGGGUGUGGUGGAAAGUUUUUUCGGUGUGGGAUGGGCCCGCGGCCUAUCAGCUUGUUGGUGGGGUAAUGGCCUACCAAGGCGGCGACGGGUAGCCGGCCUGAGAGGGUGGACGGCCACAUUGGGACUGAGACACGGCCCAGACUCCUACGGGAGGCAGCAGUGGGGAAUAUUGCACAAUGGGCGGAAGCCUGAUGCAGCGACGCCGCGUGGGGGAUGACGGCCUCGGUU